GCUGUUUGGGGUGGAGAAGGCAAACGCACUCACCUUCAGAACAACAGAUGGCAUCCUCGGCAAGGCAGGUGACUGGGGGAGGGGGUACCUUUGGCUUUAAAACAUCCCGAUUUAAAAUGAAAAUGACCUUGGGAGAAGAGUUGCUUCAACUCAGCUGUCUUAUCAUCAGUGCUUACUCAUUAGGCUGUAUUAUCUAUGGGGUUAAUGGAAACUUGUUUAACUUCACAUGUGAGUUGAAAGCCACCGGAAGCAAGGGAUUUGGCCGUCGGGCCCCUUCUUCAUCUGGACCUCUGAUCCAGAGCUCUGUGUUCUCCUAGGUCAACCUGCACCCUUUCCCAUGACAUCCACACACCUGUCAACAUCCAAGUACUGAAAAACCAUGGGCUUUUUGGCCUCAAUGAGGCCCAGCUUCGGAUCCUGCUUUUACAGAAUGACCCGUGCCUUUUACCAGAGGUCUGUUUGCUGUACAACAAAGGUGAAGCACUAUAUGGCUACUGCAACCUCAAGGAUAAAUGCAACAAGUUCCAUGUGUGCAAAUCCUUUGUCAGAGGGGAAUGCAGGCUUCAGAAAUGCAAACGGUCUCAUCAGCUCAUUCAUGCUACAGCCUUGAAGCUGCUGCAGGACCAAGGACUGAAUAUUCCAAGUGUCGUUAAUUUUCAGAUCAUCUCUACCUACAAGCACAUGAAGCUGCACAAGAUGCUCGAAAAUCAAGAUAAUGCAGCUUCUGCUCAGUGUUCCCAGGGCCCCGAGAAACCAGGAGUACACGUGGCUGGUGCUGCCGAGGCCAGUCCUGUGGCUUCCAUGCCUGCUCAGUCAGCCAAGAAGCCACACGCAGCUAAACCGUAAAGGACGUCCAUGAAAUAAGAUGCUUGUCCAGUUGGAACGUCCGAAAACAAAGCUUCUGUUGAGCUUUAUUUGUAAGUUCCUUCACGUAAUCACUUAUCAGUAGCGGUCAUAGUAAUACCUACCUCACACAUUGUUGUAAAAAUUAAAAAAGACAGAGAAGGGGAGCACAUCAGGUUGGGAGGAUAACAUUGGGGAUGAGUGGUUGGGGAUGUGGUGGGACAUUGAGCAGGCAGAGAGGGGAGAGCGUGAGUAUGGUUGGGGUCAGUCCAGGGCAAACUCUGAAGAUGGUGGGUUCUGCCUAUAAUCCCUGACCUCUCCCCCAGGCUGACGGGAGCUCCGAGAGGCGCAGGUUUGGGCUGACUUGCUCUGUGACCCAGCCAGUGUUUUUCUACACGGUUUACAUAGUGGUCGUCAGAGACUAUGGACACUUUGUACUCUUAUUUUUUCUUCAUGUUUCAUAAGCAUCCUUCCCUAUUCACAUUUUAUCAUGUAUAAUCAUUUUUAUGCACAGAUACGCUAACAUAUAAUUAUUUACUUAACGACUUCCCUUAUUCUGGAUAUUUCAGUUCUUUCUAACAAAUUCUGAAUAGAACUCUUUUCUUAAAAUCCUCACAAUAUUGAAUUUUUAAAUUUCUUCUUUUGCUUAGCUUGUCGGUGCUAAAUGAUACUGUUUUUUGAUUUGCAUUUCUUUAAAUAUAUGCAAGUGAAUAUUUUUCUGUGUGUGUGCUUUCUGUAUGUUUGUGUGUGUGUGUAUGUGUGUGUGCAUUUUGUGCCUGCCCUCCUAGGGCCCUCCUCCAUGCUGAUGUGGGAUGGCCUGUAAUUAGGUUACUUAAUUUUCAUAAAAGGAUAUCAAUCGUACCAUGCUCAUAUGAUAUCCAACUCUCAUGGAUCCAUCCUCAGCCAGUACCACAGAGUUUAUAACUGUUGAGUGCUCACCAAAGAUUUCUACCUCACUGUGUCUACUCUGCAUUUCUUAUUAAAUUUUUCGCCAAAGCCCCCAUUGCUAUAGGGUCGUUCAUCCAUUCCUCAAAGUUGUAUCCAUUCUUUCUGUGGAUCUGGAGGGACCAUCAGAAACCUAUAUACCUUGUCUGUUUUGUGUUGACUUUCCUCCCUUCUCCUGUCCCCACCACCUGGCUUUCUUCAUCCAGUUACACUUCGAUGUUUGGUUUUUUGUUUUCAUCAGAGGGCACCACAGAGAAGCUGCGUUAUGAUAUCUUUUUCUGUGUUUGCUUUUCUGAUAUCCCCAAAUGUUGAUGUGUAAAGUCUUGUUGUUUUUUAAAUUUUUUUUUUUUUUUUUUAAGAUUUUAUUUAUUUGCGAGAGAGAGAAUGAGAGCA
Leptonychotes weddellii (Weddell seal) is the source of this 2181-nucleotide non-coding RNA. Lineage: Eukaryota; Metazoa; Chordata; Mammalia; Carnivora; Phocidae. The record is from RefSeq and is a predicted model, not a curated record.